This 274-nucleotide ribosomal RNA is filed under the name uncultured bacterium. RNAcentral describes it as "partial 16S ribosomal RNA". It matches the Rfam family "Bacterial small subunit ribosomal RNA", at positions 523 to 796 of the family's 1533-position model. The record is from RNAcentral.
CUACGGAGGGUGCGAGCGUUAAUCGGAAUUACUGGGCGUAAAGCGUACGUAGGCGGUUGGUUAAGUUAGAUGUGAAAGCCCCGGGCUUAACCUGGGAACUGCAUUUAAAACUGGCGGACUAGAGUUGAGUAGAGGGGAGUGGAAUUUCAGGUGUAGCGGUGAAAUGCGUAGAGAUCUGAAGGAACACCAGUGGCGAAGGCGACUCCCUGGACUCGAACUGACGCUGAGGUACGAAAGCGUGGGUAGCAAACGGGAUUAGAAACCCCGGUAGUCC